AUUCCUCGGGGAGGAAUAUGUUCGAGUCGUCCGGGAAAAGCAGCCUCGGUCCUGCACCGAGCGAAAUUCGUGUCGUCCUCGUUGCAAUUAAAGAGAGAGUGGAGGAGAUUCGGGGUUCCACGGGGUGAUAAAAUGUAUUUGUGUAUCUCGCUGCGUGACAUUAGCCAUGGAGAAAGAGGAUGUCGAGCAACUUCCCGAAAUACAUCGCGGCCGAAGUGUAUCAUUUAAACGAGUUAUUUUCGUGCGGUACAUACGGAUUCGUUUUCGAAAAUGCGUAGGUUACAUCGGUAUUUUCGAUGCUGUCGCAACUAUUAGAACGGAUAGAUUAUAAGGUCCAAAAAUAUUCCAGAAGUCUGUUUAUAUCGAUACACAUAACGUAAUUGCUCGCAUCCCUCAAUUAAAAUCGUCGCGAGAAGAGUGGAAGGGGAGUAAGGCUGCUUGAAAAGCAUCGCCCGAUAAUAAGAAUCCGUUUCAAUAGCUCCGAUAUCUCGAAUACUUUAAUUUUCAACAAUAAAAUCAAUAACACAGAAAUAAUUCAAGUAUUUGCGAUGGUUAUGUGAGAAAAAAAAACAAACAAUUAAAAAUGUGUGAAUCUUAUCUAUACAAAAAUAUUUUACCCUAGAAAAUAAAAAAUUCUUAAAUUCUUA
This is a long non-coding RNA of Monomorium pharaonis (pharaoh ant), 647 nucleotides long. RefSeq lists it as uncharacterized. The transcript is spliced from 2 exons. The record is from RefSeq and is a predicted model, not a curated record. NCBI's taxonomy places the organism in Eukaryota, Metazoa, Arthropoda, Insecta, Hymenoptera, Formicidae.